RNAcentral lists this ribosomal RNA (494 nucleotides) under uncultured bacterium. RNAcentral's name for it is "bacterial SSU rRNA". It matches the Rfam family "Bacterial small subunit ribosomal RNA", at positions 29 to 512 of the family's 1533-position model. The record is from RNAcentral.
AGUGAACGCUGGCGGCAGGCCUAAUACAUGCAAGUCGAACGGCAGCACAGCAGAGCUUGCUCUGUGGGUGGCGAGUGGCGGACGGGUGAGGAAUACAUGGGAAUCUGCCCAGUCGUGGGGGAUAACGUAUGGAAACGUACGCUAAUACCGCAUGCGCCCUACGGGGGAAAGCCGGGGACCGCAAGGCCUGGCGCGAUUGGAUGAGCCCAUGUUCGAUUAGCUAGUUGGCGGGGUAAAGGCCCACCAAGGCGACGAUCGAUAGCUGGUCUGAGAGGAUGAUCAGCCACACUGGAACUGAGACACGGUCCAGACUCCUACGGGAGGCAGCAGUAGGGAAUAUUGGACAAUGGGGGCAACCCUGAUCCAGCCAUGCCGCGUGAGUGAAGAAGGCCCUCGGGUUGUAAAGCUCUUUUGUCCGGAAAGAAAGCAAUCGGUUAAUACCCGGUUGUUCUGACGGUACCGGAAGAAUAAGCACCGGCUAACUUCGUGCCAGC